UACGUAGGGUGCAAGCGUUGUCCGGAAUUAUUGGGCGUAAAGAGCUCGUAGGCGGUUUGUCGCGUCUGCUGUGAAAACCCGAGGCUCAACCUCGGGCCUGCAGUGGGUACGGGCAGACUAGAGUGCGGUAGGGGAGACUGGAAUUCCUGGUGUAGCGGUGAAAUGCGCAGAUAUCAGGAGGAACACCGGUGGCGAAGGCGGGUCUCUGGGCAGUAACUGACGCUGAGGAGCGAAAGCGUGGGGAGCAAACAGG
This 253-nucleotide ribosomal RNA is filed under the name uncultured bacterium. Its description in RNAcentral is "partial 16S ribosomal RNA". It matches the Rfam family "Bacterial small subunit ribosomal RNA", at positions 524 to 776 of the family's 1533-position model. The record is from RNAcentral.